This 473-nucleotide ribosomal RNA is filed under the name uncultured bacterium. RNAcentral describes it as "partial 16S ribosomal RNA". It matches the Rfam family "Bacterial small subunit ribosomal RNA", at positions 28 to 507 of the family's 1533-position model. The record is from RNAcentral.
GAUAAACGCUGGCGGCGCACAUAAGACAUGCAAGUUGAACGGACUUAAUCGAAAUAUUUAUCUUUUGAAGCGGUUAGUGGCGGACUGGUGAGUAACGCGUAAGGAACCUGCCUAUUAGAGGGGAAUAACAGUGAGAAAUCAUUGCUAAUACCGCAUAUGCCAUAGAUAUCACAUGAUAACAGUGGGAAAGGAGCAAUCCGCUAAUAGAUGGCCUUGCGUCUGAUUAGAUAGUUGGUGGGGUAACGGCCUACCAAGUCGACGAUCAGUAGCCGGACUGAGAGGUUGAACGGCCACGUUGGGACUGAGAGACGGCCCAGACUCCUACGGGAGGAAGCAGUCGGGAAUAAUGAGCAAUGGAGGAAACUCUGACGAAGUGACGGCGCGUAGAGGAAGAAGGUUUUCGGAUUGUAAACUAUUGUCGUUAGGGAAGAGAAAGGACAGUACCUAAGGAGGAAGCUCCGGCUAACUACGUG